This 3262-nucleotide long non-coding RNA is filed under the name Sus scrofa (pig). RNAcentral describes it as "lncRNA (ENSSSCG00035039679.1)". Lineage: Eukaryota; Metazoa; Chordata; Mammalia; Artiodactyla; Suidae. The record is from RNAcentral.
CUUUUUAUCUUUUUUUUUUUUUUUAUUUUUUCUUUGCCUUUUCUAGGGCCGCUCCCGUGGCAUAUGGAGGUUUCCAUGCUAGGGGUCUAAUUGGAGCUGUAGCUGCUGGCCUAUGCCGGAACCACAGCAACACAGGAUCCGAGCCGCAUCUGCAACCAACACCACAGCUCACAGCAAUGCUGGAUCCUUAGCCCACUGAAUAAGGCCAGGGACUGAACCCACAACUUCAUGGUUCCUAGUCGGAUUCGUUAACCACUGCGUCAUGAUGGGAACUCAAAGGCCGGCUUUUUAACCCACCGAGCAUGGCCAGGGAUCAAACCUGCAUCCUCAUAGAGACUAUAUUGUUGUUUUUUUUUUUUUUUUUUUUUUUUUUUGCUAGGGGUCGAGCUGAAGCUGGAGAUGCUGGUCUAUAGGAUCCAAGCCAUGUCUGCGACCUACACCAUAGCUCAUGGCAACGCUGGAUCCUUAAUCCACUGAGUAAGGCCGGGGAUCGAACCUGCAACGUCAUGGCUCCUAGUCGGAUUUGUUAACCACGGAGCCACGACGGGAACUCCCUGGAAGUUUUCUUGAGCCAAGACAUUCUCUAAAGAGGGACGACAGCUGAGGGUCAUGGCAGCAUUCCCAGAAGCUGGGGGAGUGACUCCUACAUUCCUGAAGGGGAAUCUGGAUUGAGUCGCACAGCACCCAUCACUCCCAAACUCCAGAACCAGGCGUAAGAAAAAAUCCUUGAAAGCUUCCUGAUGGGAAACACAGGGCAGCCACGAAGGGACAGGAAUAAGAAUACAUCACGAAGAGCACAAGCACAUCAGAAAAGGCAAUGGAGAAAUGCCUUCAAACAUCCCAUAGAAAUCAAUUUCUAACCUAGAAUUCAAUUCUGAGCCAAACUGUCUGUCAAAUUUGAGGUACAAUAAAGGCAUUUCAGAUAGUCAGACAUUUGAUUUUUCCCAUGCAGUAUUCCUUAAGAAGGAUUUGAAUACGGGAUUCAGGAAGUAAAGGAUCUGCCAAGAAGACGUGAAAGGCAGUCUGAGUAGAAAUGCUAAGCUGCGGCCUAGAGCCAACAGGGGGGCCUGGGCUCUGGAGAGAAGCUGUUAAUGUGUCUAAACCUCAUUUUACUAUGGCUGUGUCGACAACUGGUACAUUUGUGAAGAAAAAUGAAUAAAUGAUUUUUGUAAAAUCAAGAUAGAGGUCACCUCUAAAAACGGAGAGUGAUGGAGUUCCUGUUGUAACUCAGCAGUUUACCCUCACAGUGUCCGUGAGGAUUCAGGUUGCAUCCUCUGCCUUAUCCGUGGGUUCAGGAUGUGGCAUUGCCGCAAGCUGCAGCAUUGCUCCCAGUGUGGCUCAGAUCCAGCACUGCUGUAGCUGUGGCGUUAGGCAGGCAGCUGCAGCUCUGAUUCGACCCCUAUCUAGCCAGGAAACUUCCAUAUGCCACAGGUGUGGCCCUAAAAAUAAACUAAAUAAAUAAGGAGAAUAAGGGCUGUGACUAGGGGGAGGAGCCUUUGAGGUGCUGGCGGUGUUUGUGUGUUUUUUUUUUUUUUUCAGCUGCACCCAUGGCAUAUGGAAAUUCCUGGGCCAGGGAUCAAAUCCAAGCCUCAGCUGCAAACUACGCCACAGCUGCAGCAACGCUGGGUCUUUAACCCACUACAACAGGAACGCCAAUGUUUUUUUUGAUCUGAGUGAUGGUUACAUGGGUAUUUGCUUUAUAAUUACUAGCAUUACUGCAGACACAUAUACAUAUUACUUUAUAUAAAUGCUUUAUGUCAUUUUCUAUGUAUAUAUUUUUAAAUAAGUCACUUAAAAUUUCUAUUAAAAAAUAAUAAGCAUAAAGCCCUCAGCGCAGUGCCUGCCCUGGACAUACAGCACUUGUCCAAUAAGUGUCAUGAAUAUUCUCAUCCUCAUCAUUAUCCUGACCUUGCCAUCCAUUCCUGAAGAAGUAUUUUCAGUUUUUGGUUUCUACAAGAGAGAGAUGUGAGAUGUCUUCCAGAGGAGCAUUUAAAAGGGGGGAGGAUUAGUACUUGGCCAGGAAACCAGUUUUAUGUUUGCAAUGACAAAAAAAAUUAAAUCCAGAGCUUCCUGUUCUGAAAACAUGCCACUAUCAGAGAGAAAAUUAAGAUAUUUUCUCUUUUCCCUGCUUCUAUAGCUGUCAAGCGGGCAGUAGGAUGGAAAGUUACCUUCUGCCUUCCCGACAGCAGCUCUGAUCCUUUGCUUCUGAGCAAACAUGAAUCCCAACGUGGAAACUUCUUAUGGGGCAGAUAAUUCUUGGGACACUUUUCCCUUCCUCUUAACACUCAUCUAACAGGGAAUCAGGCUGAUGGAAUGGAUAGAGCCCUAGCUGGGGAAUCGGGGGGCUUGGGCUACUACUUUGCCUUGAAGCAAUGUGCAUCUUGGUCAAAUCGCUCCCUUUCUUAGGAACGGGUUUUGUCAUCUGUAAAACCAGAGUUCGAGAACAAGCUCACCCUUCCAGCUCUUGUAGUCUGUGAUUCUAAAAUCCUGCAAAGGUAGGGAGAGAAAUAGCAUAGCUAACAGGAGGAGCAUGUGGGUGUUGAGUCAGACCUAGGUUUAUAUAACAGAGCUACCACCUACUAGUUUUAUAUGUGCUCUAAAUUAUUUAGUUGUCCUCAGCCUCAACCCCCAGGAGUAGUAACUGCCCUUGUAGUAGUAACUGCAGUUCAGAAAUGUUGUGAAGAUGAGGUGAAAUGGUCUAUGUCCAUGGAUCCCAAACUGUGUGCUGAGGUACACUAAGGCUCUGCAGUGAACUCACAGGGGGACCACUAUUGGAUAUUUCAAAUUUUUGAGGGAAAUAUAGUGACAUAUGUUGGGUAUCAGAGAUAAUUAAGAGUAUCAACAUUAGAUUGUGCUACAGUCUGUGAUGCUUUAUGUUUUGUCUUCACAAAGCUGGGUUUUCAGUAUGAUUAAAAGCAGGUUUCCUGUGAAAAUCAAUUUGGAACAUGAAAUGAGGGUAGUAGUAUCCACUUCGAUUAAGAAGUUGAACAGUGUAGGAGUUCCCGCCGUGGCGCAGUGGAAAUGAAUCCAACUAGGAACCAUGAGGUUGUGGGCUCGAUCACUGACCUCGCUCAGUGGGUUAAGGAUCUGGCGUUGCCAUGACCUGUGGUAUAGGUCACAGACGUGGCUUGAAUCACACGUUGCUAUGGCUGUGGCGGAGCGCUGGUGGCUUGGCUCCAAUUAGACUCCUAGCCUGGCAACUUCCAUAUGCUGCAGAUGCAGCCCUGAAAAGACAAAAAAAACCAAAAAAAAAAAAAAAAAA